Molecule: transfer RNA, 69 nt
Filed under: Craseonycteris thonglongyai (hog-nosed bat)
Lineage: Eukaryota; Metazoa; Chordata; Mammalia; Chiroptera; Craseonycteridae
Description: tRNA-Pro
Source: RNAcentral
UCAAGGAAUAGUUUAAGUAGAAUAUCAGCUUUGGGUGUUGAUGGUGGGACUGUAUGUUCCUUCCUUGAA